Molecule: ribosomal RNA, 440 nt
Filed under: uncultured bacterium
Lineage: Bacteria
Description: partial 16S ribosomal RNA
Rfam family: Bacterial small subunit ribosomal RNA
Source: RNAcentral
CCUACGGGCGGCAGCAGUGGGGAAUAUUGCACAAUGGGGGAAACCCUGAUGCAGCGACGCCGCGUGAGUGAAGAAGUAUUUCGGUAUGUAAACCUCUAUCAGCAGGGAAGAAAAUGACGGUACCUGACUAAGAAGCCCCGGCUAACUACGUGCCAGCAGCCGCGGUAAUACGUAGGGGGCAAGCGUUAUCCGGAUUUACUGGGUGUAAAGGGAGCGUAGACGGUGAAGCAAGUCUGAUGUGAAAGGCCGGAGCGCAACUGCGGGACUGCAUUGGAAACUGUUGAACUGGAUUACAGGAGAGGUAAGUGGAAUUCCUAGUGUAGCGGUGAAAUGCGUAGAUAUUAGGAGGAACACCAGUGGCGAAGGCGGCUUACUGGACUUUAACUGACGUUGAGGCUCGAAAGCGUGGGGAGCAAACAGGAUUAGAUACCCGUGUAGUC